This 571-nucleotide ribosomal RNA is filed under the name Botryosphaeria dothidea. RNAcentral describes it as "eukaryotic LSU rRNA". It matches the Rfam family "Eukaryotic large subunit ribosomal RNA", at positions 62 to 648 of the family's 3401-position model. The record is from RNAcentral. Lineage: Eukaryota; Fungi; Ascomycota; Dothideomycetes; Botryosphaeriales; Botryosphaeriaceae.
AAACCAACAGGGAUNGCNUUAGUAACGGCGAAUGAAGCGGCAACAGCUCAAAUUUGAAAGCUGGCUCCUUUGGAGUCCGCGUUGUAAUUUGUAGAGGAUGAUUCGGCAAGGGCUCCCGCCUAAGUCUCCUGGAACGGAGCGUCAUAGAGGGUGAGAAUCCCGUAUGCGGUGGGCUGCCUAAGCCAUGUGAAUCUCCUUCGACGAGUCGAGUUGUUUGGGAAUGCAGCUCUAAAUGGGAGGUAAAUUUCUUCUAAAGCUAAAUACCGGCCAGAGACCGAUAGCGCACAAGUAGAGUGAUCGAAAGAUGAAAAGCACUUUGGAAAGAGAGUUAAAAAGUACGUGAAAUUGUUGAAAGGGAAGCGCUUGCAGCCAGACUUGUCCGCAGUUGCUCAGCCGGUNUCCUGACCGGUGUACUCUUCUGCGGCCAGGCCAGCAUCAGUUCGGGCGGUCGGAUAAAGACCUCGGGAAUGUAGCUCCUCUCGGGGAGUGUUAUAGCCCGGGGUGGAAUGCGGCCAGCCUGGACUGAGGAUCUCGCUUCGGCUAGGAUGCUGGCGUAAUGGCUGUAAGCGGC